RNAcentral lists this ribosomal RNA (2113 nucleotides) under Escherichia coli. RNAcentral describes it as "bacterial LSU rRNA". It matches the Rfam family "Bacterial large subunit ribosomal RNA", at positions 1 to 2141 of the family's 2925-position model. The record is from RNAcentral. Lineage: Bacteria; Pseudomonadati; Pseudomonadota; Gammaproteobacteria; Enterobacterales; Enterobacteriaceae.
UUAAGCGACUAAGCGUACACGGUGGAUGCCCUGGCAGUCAGAGGCGAUGAAGGACGUGCUAAUCUGCGAUAAGCGUCGGUAAGGUGAUAUGAACCGUUAUAACCGGCGAUUUCCGAAUGGGGAAACCCAGUGUGAUUCGUCACACUAUCAUUAACUGAAUCCAUAGGUUAAUGAGGCGAACCGGGGGAACUGAAACAUCUAAGUACCCCGAGGAAAAGAAAUCAACCGAGAUUCCCCCAGUAGCGGCGAGCGAACGGGGAGGAGCCCAGAGCCUGAAUCAGUGUGUGUGUUAGUGGAAGCGUCUGGAAAGGCGCGCGAUACAGGGUGACAGCCCCGUACACAAAAAUGCACAUGCUGUGAGCUCGAUGAGUAGGGCGGGACACGUGGUAUCCUGUCUGAAUAUGGGGGGACCAUCCUCCAAGGCUAAAUACUCCUGACUGACCGAUAGUGAACCAGUACCGUGAGGGAAAGGCGAAAAGAACCCCGGCGAGGGGAGUGAAAAAGAACCUGAAACCGUGUACGUACAAGCAGUGGGAGCACGCUUAGGCGUGUGACUGCGUACCUUUUGUAUAAUGGGUCAGCGACUUAUAUUCUGUAGCAAGGUUAACCGAAUAGGGGAGCCGAAGGGAAACCGAGUCUUAACUGGGCGUUAAGUUGCAGGGUAUAGACCCGAAACCCGGUGAUCUAGCCAUGGGCAGGUUGAAGGUUGGGUAACACUAACUGGAGGACCGAACCGACUAAUGUUGAAAAAUUAGCGGAUGACUUGUGGCUGGGGGUGAAAGGCCAAUCAAACCGGGAGAUAGCUGGUUCUCCCCGAAAGCUAUUUAGGUAGCGCCUCGUGAAUUCAUCUCCGGGGGUAGAGCACUGUUUCGGCAAGGGGGUCAUCCCGACUUACCAACCCGAUGCAAACUGCGAAUACCGGAGAAUGUUAUCACGGGAGACACACGGCGGGUGCUAACGUCCGUCGUGAAGAGGGAAACAACCCAGACCGCCAGCUAAGGUCCCAAAGUCAUGGUUAAGUGGGAAACGAUGUGGGAAGGCCCAGACAGCCAGGAUGUUGGCUUAGAAGCAGCCAUCAUUUAAAGAAAGCGUAAUAGCUCACUGGUCGAGUCGGCCUGCGCGGAAGAUGUAACGGGGCUAAACCAUGCACCGAAGCUGCGGCAGCGACGCUUAUGCGUUGUUGGGUAGGGGAGCGUUCUGUAAGCCUGCGAAGGUGUGCUGUGAGGCAUGCUGGAGGUAUCAGAAGUGCGAAUGCUGACAUAAGUAACGAUAAAGCGGGUGAAAAGCCCGCUCGCCGGAAGACCAAGGGUUCCUGUCCAACGUUAAUCGGGGCAGGGUGAGUCGACCCCUAAGGCGAGGCCGAAAGGCGUAGUCGAUGGGAAACAGGUUAAUAUUCCUGUACUUGGUGUUACUGCGAAGGGGGGACGGAGAAGGCUAUGUUGGCCGGGCGACGGUUGUCCCGGUUUAAGCGUGUAGGCUGGUUUUCCAGGCAAAUCCGGAAAAUCAAGGCUGAGGCGUGAUGACGAGGCACUACGGUGCUGAAGCAACAAAUGCCCUGCUUCCAGGAAAAGCCUCUAAGCAUCAGGUAACAUCAAAUCGUACCCCAAACCGACACAGGUGGUCAGGUAGAGAAUACCAAGGCGCUUGAGAGAACUCGGGUGAAGGAACUAGGCAAAAUGGUGCCGUAACUUCGGGAGAAGGCACGCUGAUAUGUAGGUGAAGUCCCUCGCGGAUGGAGCUGAAAUCAGUCGAAGAUACCAGCUGGCUGCAACUGUUUAUUAAAAACACAGCACUGUGCAAACACGAAAGUGGACGUAUACGGUGUGACGCCUGCCCGGUGCCGGAAGGUUAAUUGAUGGGGUUAGCGCAAGCGAAGCUCUUGAUCGAAGCCCCGGUAAACGGCGGCCGUAACUAUAACGGUCCUAAGGUAGCGAAAUUCCUUGUCGGGUAAGUUCCGACCUGCACGAAUGGCGUAAUGAUGGCCAGGCUGUCUCCACCCGAGACUCAGUGAAAUUGAACUCGCUGUGAAGAUGCAGUGUACCCGCGGCAAGACGGAAAGACCCCGUGAACCUUUACUAUAGCUUGACACUGAACAUUGAGCCUUGAUGUGUAG